RNAcentral lists this ribosomal RNA (466 nucleotides) under uncultured bacterium. Its description in RNAcentral is "partial 16S ribosomal RNA". It matches the Rfam family "Bacterial small subunit ribosomal RNA", at positions 339 to 795 of the family's 1533-position model. The record is from RNAcentral.
CUACGGGACGCUGCAGUGAGGAAUUUUGCGCAAUGGGGGAAACCCUGACGCAGCAACGCCGCGUGAGUGAAGAAGGCCUUUGGGUCGUAAAGCUCUGUCAACUGGGAAGAAGUUACAUCAUUUUAAUAGAAUGUUGUAUUGACGGUACCAGUGGAGGAAGCGCCGGCUAACUCCGUGCCAGCAGCCGCGGUAACACGGGGGGCGCAAGCGUUAUGUCGGAAUUAUUGGGCGUAAAGGGCGCGCAGGCGGUCUUGUCAGUCAGGUGUGAAAGCCCGGGGCUCAACCCUGGAAGUGCACUUGAAACAGCAAGACUUGAAUACGGGAGAGGAGAGAGGAAUUCCUGGUGUAGAGGUGAAAUUCGUAGAUAUCAGGAGGAACACCGAUGGCGAAGGCAUCUCUCUGGACCGAUAUUGACGCUGAGGCGCGAAGGCGUGGGUAGCGAACGGGAUUAGAUACCCCCGUAGUC